Canis lupus familiaris (dog) is the source of this 1816-nucleotide long non-coding RNA. RefSeq lists it as uncharacterized. The record is from RefSeq and is a predicted model, not a curated record. The transcript has 2 exons. Lineage: Eukaryota; Metazoa; Chordata; Mammalia; Carnivora; Canidae.
AGAAAUGUUAAAAAUCUUAUGCCUACGUGUAUAAUCUGUAUACAUUUUCUAGGGGUUUGGAACUGAUGAGAGAGGUCCUACAUGAAUCACGCUAUUGUAGGCCAGACUAGUUACAGCAGCUGUUAACGAGCAUCGGGCACAACUCAUACUGUGCUUACAAUCAGACGAUGGGUUUUGGAGGUUUAUCAACUCCUCGGCUUCAAUCCUUCCGUUGCUUCCUCGGCUUCACAUUGUUUUCCAGGGAAGAAAAGCUGUUGGUGUGUCCGUUCACCGCAGCCACAGACCCAUUCUGGUGGUCCUUCAGAUGCUCUUUUCUCCGCGAGGCCCCCUUCUUGUUGUAAGUCUGAAACGCAUCAGGGCAGAUGGGUCACGUGACCGGCUGUUCUGCUGCGGGGUAGGGUUGGGGGGUGCCCACUUCCCUAAGCCUAGCCUUGAUUCCCGUUAGGACCCAAUGCCACUGGGAUGGAAGGUCUGCAGUCCAGCAACUCUGGGAACAUUUUUUUGCCAUUUGCCAUCACUCUUCCUUUUCUGAGGUAUAGCCCGAGGCCCUAUCCUUCAACCUCCCUCAUGCCUGACAAAUGUCCCAAAGUGUGGCAUAGAUCACCAGCGCGGCUGGACCAUGGGCUCACUCGAACACACCACCAAGUCCAAGGGUGUGGGAUGAAAGGUGCCGGUGGGCAUAAGAAAGGGGAAUGUGGCAAGGCCCCCGCGUGGCUGCGCAGCCAACUGGACUUUACUGCCUCCACAUCCCUGGCUUCUGCCCUUGCUCCUGACCUCUGGUGCCUGCCCAGAACCAGGCACUGCCCACAGGAGUAGGAGCACACCUCAUCCAGGGGAAACUGGGAGUUGCAGAGUGACCAACUGGAGAUGAUCUGCCCUAAUUGGGCCCUUCAGUGAGUAAAAUUUACCUUACAUCAUGCACUGGGGAAUGAAUGAGCCCCCACAUCUGAGCAGUGGAUGUGUGAGGAAACUGGGACAAAAGGGCAGAUUUCUAUCUACAGCUGAGGGCUAUGAGACUGCUAAAUGAAAUCACCUGUCACGUGUCUGCAGAAGUCUACACACUUUCCUAAAAUCUUGAAGACAAAGAAUAUAUAUUUAAGGUUUCAUCAAGACUGCUUUAGAGCGCCCCCCCCCUUUACAUUAUCAAUAGUGGCACUCAAAAUAAAAAAAAUAAGAUGUUAAAAAGAGCAGAUCUGUUAAAAAGUUCGGCAGUAGAGAGCCUGCUGAACAACUCUGCAUUCCCACAGGAAUCCUCAGCUUCCUUGCCAUAGAUCUAGAGCUCUGGGGUCUGGGACAGAUUUCAGUACCUUCUCUGUUGGCGGUGGUCCCCCUCCCAAAGGUAGGGACUGCCUUGUCACUGGGACUAAAUUAGAGCCCACUGCCUGGCACACAGGCACAGAGGUUCUACACAUCGUCCUCCUUAAAUGAAUAGAUGAGGGCUUCUGCUGGAAUGAUCUCAAGUCCCACCCAACUGCCACAGAUAGGUAAGACUCACCUGAAUAUAGAAGUUUGUGAAGAGAGCAAUCAGAGAGAUCAUGUAUCCAAUCUGGAAGUACAGCCACCCAAGGGGGAACGAACAUGGCCAGAUGACCCCACAGCUGGUCUGGAUGAUUGUCAGCACAAACUGAAGCUGGUGGGAGAGAAGGGACACAGCUGAGCAGCGCAGCCACCGCCCAAGGACAAGGUGCCACACCAGAUGGGCUCUCCAGCCAGCAUGCUGAGUGUGCGAUCAGACACUUACAGGCCUUUCUGUAGGUGAAGCCACUCCAUAAACACCAAGCAUGCAUUUUAUGCAUAAAUUGCUCCUGAAUUGCUA